GCUGCAUGGUUGUCGUCAGCUCGUGCCGUGAGGUGUCGGGUUAAGUCCCAUAACGAGCGCUACCCCUAUUGCUAGUUACCAGCGAGUAAUGUCGGGAACUCUAGAAAAACUGCCUGUGCAAACAGAGAGGAAGGUGGGGAUGACGUCAAAUCAUCACGGCCCUUAUGUCUUGGGCUACACACGUGCUAUAAUGGUUACUACUAUGUGAUGCCAUCUGGUGACAGAGAGCUAAUCAAUAAAGGUAAUCUCAGUUCGGAUCGGAGUCUGCAACUCGACUCUGUGAAGUUGGAUUCGCUAGUAAUCGUAUAUCAGCCAUGAUACGGUGAAUACGUUCCCGGGCCUUGUACACACCGCCCGUCAAGCCAUGGAAGUUUGGGGUACCUGAAGUCAGUAACCGCGAAGGAACUGCCUAGGGUAAAACAAAUGACUAGGGCUAAGUCGUAACAAGGUAACC
RNAcentral lists this ribosomal RNA (454 nucleotides) under uncultured bacterium. RNAcentral's name for it is "bacterial SSU rRNA". It matches the Rfam family "Bacterial small subunit ribosomal RNA", at positions 1040 to 1501 of the family's 1533-position model. The record is from RNAcentral.